Molecule: long non-coding RNA, 1202 nt
Organism: Phacochoerus africanus (Common warthog)
Lineage: Eukaryota; Metazoa; Chordata; Mammalia; Artiodactyla; Suidae
Exons: 3
Source: RefSeq, a predicted model, not a curated record
CCAGCCCCUCUGCUGGAGCGUCAGCCGGUACCAUCAACCUCGGUAGAGUCUUUCCUGCCGUCUCCACUUUGUUUUAUUUUCCUCCUUUCUCAUCUGCUUCGGAUCCCUUCCACCAGUUUCGAGUUGCUCUCGUGCCCGCGACCCCCUCCCCGCCCCUCUCCGCCCGCGCUGCGGGCCAGGCACGAGGGAGGCAGCCCCGAAGGCUCCGCGGCGGCGGCGGCGGCGGCGGCGGCUCCUCGCCGGCUGCUCGCAAAGUCCGGCGGGCCGAGACAGCCGGCAACUCCUCUCAACUUCUGCCGAUCCGCGGGCGAAGCAACACGCUUCCUGCGCGUCCCUCCCGGGGGCUGAGCCGCUAGGAGGUGUGAGCCUGACUGUCCUCACCUAACCCCAGAGUCCAUUGAAGAAAUGGGCCAGGAUCUAAAGAUGCUUCCAUCACCUGGUCCGAGGGCAAAGAGAAGAUUCGCUGCAAUAACUGGAGGAGGUAGAGGAGAGGAUGGAGGGCAGACAAGAGGCUUGAGGUAAUGGGUGAGCGUGUGUGUAAAGAGUACAUUUAAAUGAAUGACCUUAACCUCCUUAACCUUUUCCUUUCUCGGACCAUAGACCUAGAUCGGUGUGGCUGGUGAGUGAGCAGUCUUUGGCAACACCUGGUCAUUCUCCUUCCCUUUCACAUCCUGCCAAUGUGUGAAGUCCAUAGGAGCCCUCCAGGGUGGUGGCCCAGCUUCAGGAGCAACCAGCACGAGACCCAGUGCCCUGAUCAGGGUGCAGUGGCUCUGACCUGCAGACCAUACUGUCUGGGAAAGCCCAGAGCCUAGCUUGUUCAAAUGUGGUUGCUGCACUAAAAGGAGACACCUGAGACAUACCAUGUGGCUUCCCCCUCCUCCUCCUGGGGGAACCUCACACAUGGCCAGGCUCACAUAUAGACAAACCACGCUGCAGUGAAUCCGUGGCUUCUCAGGAAUCAGGCCACAGCCGUUACCCAUCACCUCCUCUCGGCAGCUAACCCAGCAGCGUUCUUCAAGGCUUCGGGGCCAGACAGGAGCCAAGCCAAGGCUGCAGCAGCCAGGUAGCUGACUGAGCCUCCAGACAACCCCACACCUGGGAGGUUCUCCUGCCCCAAAACCUUUACAGUCCUCAUUCUCCCGAACCCAAGGCCGAAUUAUUAUACUGUAUUCCAACAAAUUGCCAGAGUGCCGCCAACGCCU